GACGAACGCUGGCGGCGUGCUUAACACAUGCAAGUCGAACGGAGCGAAUGAAAGCUUGCUUUUAUAAGCUUAGUGGCAAACGGGUGAGUAACACGUAGGCAACCUGCCGACAGGAUGGGGACAACAUUCCGAAAGGAAUGCUAAUACCGAAUGAAGUCGAGGGAGGGCAUCCUCCUCCGAUGAAAGAUGGCCUCUAUAUAUAAGCUAUCACCUGUCGAUGGGCCUGCGUCUGAUUAGCUGGUAGGUGAGGUAACGGCUCACCUAGGCGACGAUCAGUAGCCGGUCUGAGAGGAUGAACGGCCACAUUGGGACUGAGACACGGCCCAGACUCCUACGGGAAGCAGCAGUGGGGAAUCUUCCGCAAUGGGCGCAAGCCUGACGGAGCAACGCCGCGUGAGUGAAGAAGGUCUUCGGAUCGUAAAAGCUCUGUUGAUGGGGACGA
RNAcentral lists this ribosomal RNA (442 nucleotides) under Selenomonas sp. oral taxon E39. Its description in RNAcentral is "bacterial SSU rRNA". It matches the Rfam family "Bacterial small subunit ribosomal RNA", at positions 28 to 448 of the family's 1533-position model. The record is from RNAcentral. Lineage: Bacteria; Bacillati; Bacillota; Negativicutes; Selenomonadales; Selenomonadaceae.